GAUGAACGCUGGCGGCGUGCUUAACACAUGCAAGUCGAACGAUGAAGCCCAGCUUGCUGGGUGGAUUAGUGGCGAACGGGUGAGUAACACGUGAGUAACCUGCCCCUGACUCUGGGAUAAGCCCGGGAAACUGGGUCUAAUACUGGAUAUGACCUGUCACCGCAUGGUGGUGGGUGGAAAGAUUUUUUGGUUGGGGAUGGACUCGCGGCCUAUCAGCUUGUUGGUGAGGUAGUGGCUCACCAAGGCGACGACGGGUAGCCGGCCUGAGAGGGUGACCGGCCACACUGGGACUGAGACACGGCCCAGACUCCUACGGGAGGCAGCAGUGGGGAAUAUUGCACAAUGGGCGCAAGCCUGAUGCAGCGACGCCGCGUGAGGGAUGACGGCCUUCGGGUUGUAAACCUCUUUCAGUAGGGAAGAAGCCUUUUGGGUGACGGUACCUGCAGAAGAAGCGCCGGCUAACUACGUGCCAGCAGCCGCGGUAAUACGUAGGGCGCAAGCGUUAUCCGGAUUUAUUGGGCGUAAAGAGCUCGUAGGCGGUUUGUCGCGUCUGCCGUGAAAGUCCGGGGCUUAACUCCGGAUCUGCGGUGGGUACGGGCAGACUAGAGUGCAGUAGGGGAGACUGGAAUUCCUGGUGUAGCGGUGAAAUGCGCAGAUAUCAGGAGGAACACCGAUGGCGAAGGCAGGUCUCUGGGCUGUAACUGACGCUGAGGAGCGAAAGCAUGGGGAGCGAACAGGAUUAGAUACCCUGGUAGUCCAUGCCGUAAACGUUGGGCACUAGGUGUGGGGGACAUUCCACGUUUUCCGCGCCGUAGCUAACGCAUUAAGUGCCCCGCCUGGGGAGUACGGCCGCAAGGCUAAAACUCAAAGGAAUUGACGGGGGCCCGCACAAGCGGCGGAGCAUGCGGAUUAAUUCGAUGCAACGCGAAGAACCUUACCAAGGCUUGACAUGGACUGGAUCGCUGCAGAGAUGUGGUUUCCCUUCGGGGCUGGUUCACAGGUGGUGCAUGGUUGUCGUCAGCUCGUGUCGUGAGAUGUUGGGUUAAGUCCCGCAACGAGCGCAACCCUCGUUCCAUGUUGCCAGCGGGUUAUGCCGGGGACUCAUGGGAGACUGCCGGGGACAACUCGGAGGAAGGUGAGGACGACGUCAAAUCAUCAUGCCCCUUAUGUCUUGGGCUUCACGCAUGCUACAAUGGCCGGUACAAAGGGUUGCGAUACUGUGAGGUGGAGCUAAUCCCAAAAAGCCGGUCUCAGUUCGGAUUGGGGUCUGCAACUCGACCCCAUGAAGUCGGAGUCGCUAGUAAUCGCAGAUCAGCAACGCUGCGGUGAAUACGUUCCCGGGCCUUGUACACACCGCCC
Molecule: ribosomal RNA, 1359 nt
Filed under: uncultured bacterium
Lineage: Bacteria
Description: bacterial SSU rRNA
Rfam family: Bacterial small subunit ribosomal RNA
Source: RNAcentral